GGCCAGACUCCUACGGGAGGCAGCAGUGGGGAAUAUUGCACAAUGGGGGAAACCCUGAUGCAGCGACGCCGCGUGAGCGAUGAAGUAUUUCGGUAUGUAAAGCUCUAUCAGCAGGGAAGAAAAUGACGGUACCUGACUAAGAAGCCCCGGCUAACUACGUGCCAGCAGCCGCGGUAAUACGUAGGGGGCAAGCGUUAUCCGGAUUUACUGGGUGUAAAGGGAGCGUAGACGGUCCUGCAAGCCAGAUGUGAAAGCCCGGGGCUCAACCCCGGGACUGCUCUUGGAACUGCGUGGCUGGAGUGCAGGAGGGGCAGGCGGAAUUCCUGGUGUAGCGGUGGAAUGCGUAGAUAUCAGGAGGAACACCGGUGGCGAAGGCGGCCUGCUGGACUGCAACUGACGUUGAGGCCCGAAAGCGUGGGGAGCAAACAGGAUUAGAUACCCCGGUAA
RNAcentral lists this ribosomal RNA (447 nucleotides) under uncultured bacterium. RNAcentral describes it as "bacterial SSU rRNA". It matches the Rfam family "Bacterial small subunit ribosomal RNA", at positions 329 to 793 of the family's 1533-position model. The record is from RNAcentral.